UCCUGAUGGAGAAAUGAGACGCUCUUGCCAGUCUUCAUAGCCCCUGUCUCAAGGCACAAAGGGAAUUAGAGCACAUCAAAGUAGCUGGGACUGGAUAGCACCUAUUCUCCAUGGAAAGUUCUUAGACACGCUAAAGCUGAGGCUAAGGAGAUUUGGCUCUAACUCAGUUUAUAUCAGAGGGCUUCUCACUGCAGUUCUAGAAAAUUAAACCUCAGCAGGU
RNAcentral lists this long non-coding RNA (220 nucleotides) under Mus pahari (shrew mouse). RNAcentral describes it as "lncRNA (MGP_PahariEiJ_G0004418.1)". Lineage: Eukaryota; Metazoa; Chordata; Mammalia; Rodentia; Muridae. The record is from RNAcentral.